GUUCACUGACCCACCAGCAACUGGGCUAUUCAUUGGACGAGGCUUCUGUCCCUUAAUUACCCAAGCAUGAGCAAGAUCACUCUGCCAUGUGUAAUAUCACAUAAUUGAAAGCAAUGGGCUCUAACAAAAGAAAACUGCAAGAAGCAAAAAGAAAAGUACAGCUUCCUUAUCCAGAAUAUUCUGCUGCAAAAUAGAAAGUCAGGCUCAGCUCUAGUCCUCAACUAUAAUAGUAACAACCACAACACUUAUAAUAGCAGCUACAGAACAGCGUGUACUCCGUACCAACAAUAAUAUUAACUGCUUUU
RNAcentral lists this long non-coding RNA (305 nucleotides) under Mustela putorius furo (domestic ferret). Its description in RNAcentral is "lncRNA (ENSMPUG00000029059.1)". Lineage: Eukaryota; Metazoa; Chordata; Mammalia; Carnivora; Mustelidae. The record is from RNAcentral.